This 253-nucleotide ribosomal RNA is filed under the name uncultured bacterium. RNAcentral describes it as "partial 16S ribosomal RNA". It matches the Rfam family "Bacterial small subunit ribosomal RNA", at positions 524 to 776 of the family's 1533-position model. The record is from RNAcentral.
UACGUAGGUGGCAAGCGUUGUCCGGAUUUACUGGGCGUAAAGAGCGCGCAGGCGGUCGUUCAAGUCGCGUGUGAAAGCCCCCGGCUCAACUGGGGAGGGUCACGCGAUACUGAUCGACUCGAAGGCAGGAGAGGGAAGUGGAAUUCCCGGUGUAGUGGUGAAAUUCGUAGAUAUUAGGAAGAACACCGGUGGCGAAGGCGGCCCACUGGCUCGAUACUGACGCUGAGGUGCGAAAGCGUGGGGAGCAAACAGG